GACUGCAUAUCAGCAUAUUUGGAUUCAUGUGUGGUGUGUUUGUAUGCAAUUUAUGCACGUGGGAAUAUUUUUGAUGUUCAUGAUCUUAUAGAUAUAGACCAUGUUCGUUUACGUUUCGCGCGACCUGCGACUUGCGACUAAAGAUUACGUUUGUUUACAUGUUGCACGACCUGCGACUUGCGACCUGCGACUAAAACUAUGUUCGUUUACGACAUCAAAACGAUAACCGCGACUGGAAUCGCACGACAUCAAAACGAACAACAACCUGCGACAUGCGACUUUGCGUCUAAACACAUUUUUCUUAGCACACAAGCAGGCUCGUCGUAAUACCUUAAUAGAAUG
Molecule: long non-coding RNA, 342 nt
Filed under: Brassica napus (rape)
Lineage: Eukaryota; Viridiplantae; Streptophyta; Magnoliopsida; Brassicales; Brassicaceae
Description: long non-coding RNA (BNAP_LNC006993)
Source: RNAcentral